This 76-nucleotide transfer RNA is filed under the name Christensenella tenuis. RNAcentral describes it as "tRNA-Thr". It matches the Rfam family "tRNA". From Rfam's summary of the family: Transfer RNA (tRNA) molecules are approximately 80 nucleotides in length. Their secondary structure includes four short double-helical elements and three loops (D, anti-codon, and T loops). The record is from RNAcentral. Lineage: Bacteria; Bacillati; Bacillota; Clostridia; Christensenellales; Christensenellaceae.
GCUGAUGUGGCUCAGGCGGUAGCGCAAUACCUUGGUAAGGUAUAGGUCGCGGGUUCGAGUCCCGCCAUCAGCUCCA